This 258-nucleotide long non-coding RNA is filed under the name Carica papaya (papaya). RNAcentral's name for it is "long non-coding RNA (CPAP_LNC005028)". The record is from RNAcentral. Lineage: Eukaryota; Viridiplantae; Streptophyta; Magnoliopsida; Brassicales; Caricaceae.
AUCUGGACCAUCUGAUAGCGAUUAAAUAUGAAAUGAAUCUGCACCAUUCAUCGCGAUUCAAUCUGGGUCGUCCGUAUGCGAUUCAAUCUGGACUGUCUGAGUGCGAUGCAAUCUGGACCGUCCGAGUGCGAUGCAAUCUGGGCCGUCCAUGCGCGUUUUUAAUCUGGGUCGUCCGCGCGCGGGAACAGAUCUCAGUCGUUCAAUCGCGCGCACGCGGAUCGCCCACGUGGCUCCCUUCCGCAUGGCCUCCUGCGUCAG